UGGGGAAUAUUGCACAAUGGGCGAAAGCCUGAUGCAGCGACGCCGCGUGAGGGAUGACGGCCUUCGGGUUGUAAACCUCUUUCAGCAGGGACGAAGCGCAAGUGACGGUACCUGCAGAAGAAGCACCGGCUAACUACGUGCCAGCAGCCGCGGUAAUACGUAGGGUGCAAGCGUUGUCCGGAAUUACUGGGCGUAAAGAGUUCGUAGUCGGUUUGUCGCGUCGUUUGUGAAAACCAGCAGCUCAACUGCUGGCUUGCAGGCGAUACGGGCAGACUUGAGUACUGCAGGGGAGACUGGAAUUCCUGGUGUAGCGGUGAAAUGCGCAGAUAUCAGGAGGAACACCGGUGGCGAAGGCGGGUCUCUGGGCAGUAACUGACGCUGAGGAACGAAAGCGUGGGUAGCGAACAGG
This 409-nucleotide ribosomal RNA is filed under the name Bacillota bacterium. RNAcentral's name for it is "Firmicutes bacterium partial 16S ribosomal RNA". It matches the Rfam family "Bacterial small subunit ribosomal RNA", at positions 355 to 776 of the family's 1533-position model. Lineage: Bacteria; Bacillati; Bacillota. The record is from RNAcentral.